Molecule: ribosomal RNA, 484 nt
Filed under: uncultured bacterium
Lineage: Bacteria
Description: partial 16S ribosomal RNA
Rfam family: Bacterial small subunit ribosomal RNA
Source: RNAcentral
AUUGAACGCUGGCGGAAUGCUUUACACAUGCAAGUCGAGCGGCAGCACGGGGGCAACCCUGGUGGCGAGCGGCGAACGGGUGAGUAAUACAUCGGAACAUGCCCAGUCGUGGGGGAUAACACUUCGAAAGAAGUGCUAAUACCGCAUACGUCCUGAGGGGGAAAGCAGGGGAUCGCAAGACCUCGCGCGAUUGGAGUGGCCGAUGUCAGAUUAGCUAGUUGGUGGGGUAAAGGCCUACCAAGGCAACGAUCUGUAGCUGGUCUGAGAGGAUGAUCAGCCACACUGGGACUGAGACGCGGCCCAGACUCCUACGGGAGGCAGCAGUGGGGAAUUUUGGACAAUGGGGGCAACCCCGAUCCAGCCAUUCCGCGUGAGUGAAGAAGGCCUUCGGGUUGUAAAGCUCUUUCGGCAGGAACGAAACGGUGAGCUCUAACAUAGCUUGCUAAUGACGGUACCUGAAGAAGAAGCACCGGCUAACUACGUG